UUGUCAAACACUUUGGAGGAGCUUAUAAGCUCCUAAACAACUUAUAAGCUGUUUUGAGGAGUUUAUAAGCUCAGCCAAACACCCUCUUAAAUUGUCAAAUCAGAUUCUACUCACCACAAAAUUUGAAAAAACUCUUCAACCAGUUAUUAAAAAACAAUUGUAUCCAUUCAAGUAUACACUUAGAGAUUCCAUAACAUUAUAUAGCAGAUGAAUCCGGGCCAUCCAUGUAUUUGAAAAAAGAAAUAAGAUGAGAUGGGAAUACAAAAAGUGAAUCUUUAUUUUCUCCUACCACGAAAUCUCCCACCAACUUUCUUUGUCCAAUUAGCACUCAAGCUCUUCGGAAACUUAUAAAGUAAUCACGAAAGUGGUGAAAACCCGAUUCCUGAGAGUUCGAGCAAUCACAAGCCAAGUUGAUCUCACCUUCAAAACUUGCAAUGAUGGUCUUGGUGAAGACUUGUUGGUGGCAAAACCAUGAGAGGAGCUCCGAGCUGGUAUAUAGAACAAGGCAAUAAUCAGACGGAAAAUCACUACCAGUAGUUUCAUUGCGAUCACAGCAUAAAGCAAUGAAAAGUGUACCGGGAUCUUUAGGAACAACUGCUAGCAUUGCUUUGAGAUUUGGGCAGGUCAUAUUCUCUUCAUCGUCUAUAGUCUUCAUGUCUUUAGGAGUUGGAUUCUACAGCUACACGGCCUUUUGGUAAUUUCUUUCCCAAACGCACUCCGUCAUAUGCUUGCAUCGUAGUGUCUAUACCUAUAUUAUAAUACGAUCAAUAAGGUCAUCUUUCAUACUGCGGCCAAAGUUCAUCAUGUAUUGGCAUAUGUCACCUAGUGAUCACAUUCACACAUAUAUGUAAACUCCAAUGCUUGUAACAAAAAGACAAGUGCACAAAAAACUCAUAAGGAAUAAAUGAUAACCUAACAUAUCAUACAGGCACUACAUGUACGAAAUAGGUAACUGUGGUAUAGUAGUAGUAGCAGUCUAAAUGAUAUGAACGGAAGAAUGCAGUAAUCACAAAUACUAAUAUACUGUCGAGAAUGCAGAUAAAAGAAGUUUCAACUUUUCAGAUAUUGAGAAAGAAAGGGCAACUAGUAUAUACUAUGCUCACUAAAUGUUUUCAGAGUGAUUAAUAUAAUAAUUCAGUCGUCCACUUUAAUGGUUGUCCUUGCAGUUUUUCGGUAACAAUCAUGGGGCUGGCUAUUCCAUGGAGUUUCACUUUGGCGAUACUCGAUGGAUAUUCCAUCCUGGCUAAGUUCCCCGUACAUCAAUCUGGCAUUUUCAUGGUUAUCAUAACAGGGGACUUGGUAAUUUAUACUCUUUGGUCAAUAUGUAAAGAUAUGAUGAUAAAUCAUGGAGUAACAAAGCUAAUGUUCAUAGGUAUUAUCCUUUCUCACACUAGCAGCAGCGAGCUCAACUGCAAGUCUUGUUGAUCUUCUGCUAAAAGCAGAUGUAUCCUUUUGUCCCCCGAGACUUUGUAGUAGAUAUCAGAUAUCCGCAGCAAUGGCUUUCUUGUCAUGGUUCCUUUUGCUGCUAUCAUCUCUUUCCAAUAUUUGGCUACUUCCAUGGUUGGAUGCUGAUUAAGAAUCUACCAAAGCCAGAAUAAGUUUAAUACUAGUGAAGGCAAUGAUACUGAAUACUGUAAGAAGGUUGUGGCAUGAGUCUUAUGAUUAACAUCUUUACAUGGUUAUUUAUAAGUUCUGAACUAUUUUUUGUUUUGUUUUCUUUACUCUAUUUAUUUAUUUAUUUGUAUUUUGAUUUUCUUUGGCUAGAGGAAAAUUGAUCAAGUGUUACCACUCAACAUUAGAUUUCCAGCAAAGAUAAAGGCCAACACAAAUCAUACCGGAACAUUUGGAUGCAUGUGAAGGCAGCAGCAUGGCAGAGAACAAAGACAUAAUUUAUUGCAAAUCAGCAGAAGGCCUAAAACUGUAGCCAAUUUGAGGUUAACGGCUCAGCUCUUCGCGAGAGUUUCCCAUUGGAACAAGGCAUAUCAAGAUAGGAGCUAUUCAUGAGUACCCAAACUCACAGGACCCUUUUUAUGAUACCUCUGUAACAGAAAGGUUCCCUCCCCAGAAUUCCACAUCUAAACUUGAUAUCAAUAUUCUAUUUUGUACAUGUAUGUGUACAUAGUGAAGAACAACAUGAUGACUUUAAUUCAUGUAACUAUCACCUCUAUGUUUAACUGAGAACAUGUAUUGUCAAGUAGUACUGCAAUGCAACAAUAAAUGGGAUCAACAUGGAUGUAAUAGUGAAGACUUAGGGUAACCUCUGCUUUAAUUGUAUAAAACAACUCAUUCAAUAAAUAAAGCAAUAUAAUAGACGAUGAAGAGAAUAUGACCUGCCCAAAUCUCAAAGCAAUGCUAGCAGUUGUUCCUAAAGAUCCCUGUACGCUUUUCAUUGCUUUAUGCUGUGAUUGCAAUGAAACUACUGGUAGUGAUUUUCCGUCUGAUUAUUGCCUUGUUCUAUAUACCAG
This 2465-nucleotide long non-coding RNA is filed under the name Salvia miltiorrhiza (redroot sage). RNAcentral's name for it is "long non-coding RNA (SMIL_LNC006381)". The record is from RNAcentral. Lineage: Eukaryota; Viridiplantae; Streptophyta; Magnoliopsida; Lamiales; Lamiaceae.